This 253-nucleotide ribosomal RNA is filed under the name uncultured bacterium. Its description in RNAcentral is "partial 16S ribosomal RNA". It matches the Rfam family "Bacterial small subunit ribosomal RNA", at positions 524 to 776 of the family's 1533-position model. The record is from RNAcentral.
UACGGGGGGGGCAAGCGUUGUUCGGAAUUACUGGGCGUAAAGGGCUCGUAGGCGGCCAACUAAGUCAGACGUGAAAUCCCUCGGCUUAACCGGGGAACUGCGUCUGAUACUGGAUGGCUUGAGUCUGGGAGAGGGAUGCGGAAUUCCAGGUGUAGCGGUGAAAUGCGUAGAUAUCUGGAGGAAUACCGGUGGCGAAAGCGACUCUCUGGACGGCAACCGACGCUGAGGCACGAAAGCCAGGGGAGCAAACGGG